UACGGGGGGGCAAGCGUUGUUCGGAAUUACUGGGCGUAAAGGGCCAGUAGGCGGCCAACUAAGUCCGACGUGAAAUCCCAAGGCUUAACCUUGGAACUGCGUCGGAUACUGGAUGGCUUGAAUUCGGGAGAGGGAUGCAGAAUUCCAGGUGUAGCGGUGAAAUGCGUAGAGAUCGGGAAGAACAUCGGUGGCGAAAGCGCUCUACUGGACCGCAACUGACACUCAGGGACGAAAGCUAGGGGAGCGAAUGGG
Molecule: ribosomal RNA, 252 nt
Filed under: uncultured bacterium
Lineage: Bacteria
Description: partial 16S ribosomal RNA
Rfam family: Bacterial small subunit ribosomal RNA
Source: RNAcentral